This 89-nucleotide transfer RNA is filed under the name Endocronartium harknessii PhW48OC. Its description in RNAcentral is "tRNA-Thr (TGT) (tRNA-Thr-TGT-5-1)". It matches the Rfam family "tRNA". Rfam says of the family: Transfer RNA (tRNA) molecules are approximately 80 nucleotides in length. Their secondary structure includes four short double-helical elements and three loops (D, anti-codon, and T loops). Further hydrogen bonds mediate the characteristic L-shaped molecular structure. tRNAs have two regions of fundamental functional importance: the anti-codon, which is responsible for specific mRNA codon recognition, and the 3' end, to which the tRNAs corresponding amino acid is attached (by aminoacyl-tRNA synthetases). tRNAs cope with the degeneracy of the genetic code in two manners: having more than one tRNA (with a specific anti-codon) for a particular amino acid; and 'wobble' base-pairing, i.e. permitting non-standard base-pairing at the 3rd anti-codon position. The record is from RNAcentral. Lineage: Eukaryota; Fungi; Basidiomycota; Pucciniomycetes; Pucciniales; Coleosporiaceae.
GGUCAGGUAGCCUAGUGGUUAAGGUAGCCCAUGUGUGUUGGGUCUGGAUCCAUUGGAUCUGGUCACUGGUUCAAAUCCAGCCCUGACCA